Molecule: long non-coding RNA, 502 nt
Organism: Limulus polyphemus (Atlantic horseshoe crab)
Lineage: Eukaryota; Metazoa; Arthropoda; Merostomata; Xiphosura; Limulidae
Exons: 3
Source: RefSeq, a predicted model, not a curated record
GAAAGAUUCAUCUAAUCUAUGGUAGUACACGAAGAAAAUCAGUAGUGUGCGUGUUCUACAAGUAUCAAGAUCAUUGAGUUAAAAUUUUCCUGAAAUGAACUUAGUGUCUAACUUGGAUUUCAUGGACUACUGUUCGAAGAGAACUGUAGUCCAGCGCUCAUAUAAAAAAAACCUUUGACAGUGGUGCAGAUGCUUAUAUACAACAGCAGCAAAAAUUAGCUCAUAAAACUCUACAGAUGCUAGUGAUAUCAAAGUCUCUCUAACUGUGUCAAGCAUACUUCUAGAUCAAUUCUUGGUUGGUAUUCCGCAAUGUACGAAUAGAAAGCAAAACAUUUGAUUUCAAUUAUAAUAACCAUAAUACAAAAUAAUAAUAAUAUGAUGAAUUUCACAGUAGGGUGAAAGUGAGAUAAAAGGUUUAAGUUUAGAAAGCUUUCUCUGCAACAUCUGGAAUAUUCUGAUGAUUUUCACCAUUUUCCAAAGUUCCUUCUUAGCAACAUGAACA